Molecule: ribosomal RNA, 378 nt
Filed under: uncultured bacterium
Lineage: Bacteria
Description: partial 16S ribosomal RNA
Rfam family: Bacterial small subunit ribosomal RNA
Source: RNAcentral
CCUACGGGAGGCAGCAGUGGGGAAUAUUGCACAAUGGGGGAAACCCUGAUGCAGCGACGCCGCGUGAGUGAAGAAGGAAUUCGGUAUGUAAAGCUCUAUCAGCAGGGAAGAAAAUGACGGUACCUGAGUAAGAAGCCCCGGCUAACUACGUGCCAGCAGCCGCGGUAAUACGUAGGGGGCAAGCGUAAUUCGGAUUUACUGGGUGUAAAGGGAGUGUAGACGGCAUUGCAAGUCUGGAGUGAAAGGCGGGGGCGCAACCCCCGGACUGCUCUGGAAACUGUAGGGCUGGAGUGCAGGAGAGGUAAGUGGAAUGCGCAGUGUAGCGGUGAAAUGCGUAGAUAUUAGGAGGAACCCCAGUGGCGAAGGCGGCUUACUGGA